RNAcentral lists this small RNA (688 nucleotides) under Pan troglodytes (chimpanzee). RNAcentral's name for it is "processed transcript". The record is from RNAcentral. Lineage: Eukaryota; Metazoa; Chordata; Mammalia; Primates; Hominidae.
CGCGCUCAGUGCGGCUGCGCCGGCCGGUAGCUGCAGCUGGAGCAGUGGCGUUUGGAGGAGACUCGGAUAUACCUUCUCAGAAGCUGCACAGGAGGAAAGCAGUGACAAAGAAAGAAGUUGUCAUUCUUUGCACGGAAGCUGCUUCCAAGCUUAAAAACUAAGAAGCCUCGAGAACUUGUGCUAGUGAUUGGAACAGGCAUUAGUGCUGCAGUUGCGCCCCAAGUUCCAGCCCUCAAAUCCUGGAAGGGGUUAAUUCAGGCCUUACUGGAUGCUGCCAUUGAUUUUGAUCUUUUAGAAGAUGAGGAGAGCAAAAAGUUUCAGAAAUGUCUCCAUGAAGACAAGAACCUGGUCCAUGUUGCCCAUGACCUUAUCCAGAAACUCUCUCCUCGUACCAGUAAUGUUCGAUCCACAUUUUUCAAGGACUGUUUAUAUGAAGUAUUUGAUGACUUGGAGUCAAAGAUGGAAGAUUCUGGAAAACAGCUACUUCAGUCAGUUCUCCACCUGAUGGAAAAUGGAGCCCUCGUAUUAACUACAAAUUUUGAUAAUCUCUUGGAACUGUAUGCAGCAGAUCAGGGGAAACAGCUUGAAUCCCUUGACCUUACUGAUGAGAAAAAGGUCCUAGAGUGGGCUCAGGAGAAGCGUAAGCUGAGCGUGUUGCAUAUUCACGGAGUCUACACCAACCCUAGUG